CGGCGGGUUAGGACGUCAACAACAGCCAACAAAUUAUUAGAAAUGAAGACCAUUUGUGAAAUGAAGAUUUUCAGGUUCCUGGCCACAUAUGUUCUCAUGUAUUUUCGAACGGACUUUCUCUGACUGUUGACCGCGGAAAACCGUGAACGAGGUUAUCAGAGAGCUGCGAUAAGAGAGGAAAACGGAGAGGAAGAGAAGCAGCCCGACGCGGUGUGAAGGAAUGGAAUAAACCCCAGAGCAGAACCAGAGGAAGGAGGGAUGACUGCCGUGAGAUGAAAGAGGGAUAGAGCAGGACACAGAACAACUCGAGAGACCAUUCAGCUGUGAAGAGACAGAAGAAGCCAGAAGAUCACACAAACACCCAAAGGUCUCCUCCCCUUCAUCUACUCU
This is a long non-coding RNA of Oncorhynchus tshawytscha (Chinook salmon), 390 nucleotides long. The record is from Ensembl. Lineage: Eukaryota; Metazoa; Chordata; Actinopteri; Salmoniformes; Salmonidae.